GCGAACAGACGAGGAGCUUGCUCCUCUGACGUUAGCGGCGGACGGGUGAGUAACACGUGGAUAACCUACCUAUAAGACUGGGAUAACUUCGGGAAACCGGAGCUAAUACCGAAUAAUAUAUUGAACCGCAUGGUUCAAUAGUGAAAGACGGUUUUGCUGUCACUUAUAGAUGGAUCCGCGCCGCAUUAGCUAGUUGGUAGGGUAACGGCUUACCAAGGCGACGAUGCGUAGCCGACCUGAGAGGGUGAUCGGCCACACUGGAACUGAGACACGGUCCAGACUCCUACGGGAGGCAGCAGUAGGGAAUCUUCCGCAAUGGGCGAAAGCCUGACGGAGCAACGCCGCGUGAGUGAUGAAGGUCUUCGGAUCGUAAAACUCUGUUAUUAGGGAAGAACAAAUGUGUAAGUAACUAUGCACGUCUUGACGGUACCUAAUCAGAAAGCCACGGCUAACUACGUGCCAGCAGCCGCGGUAAUACGUAGGUGGCAAGCGUUAUCCGGAAUUAUUGGGCGUAGAGCGCGCGUAGGCGGUUUUUUAAGUCUGAUGUGAAAGCCCACGGCUCAACCGUGGAGGGUCAUUGGAAACUGGAAAACUUGAGUGCAGAAGAGGAAAGUGGAAUUCCAUGUGUAGCGGUGAAAUGCGCAGAGAUAUGGAGGAACACCAGUGGCGAAGGCGACUUUCUGGUCUGUAACUGACGCUGAUGUGCGAAAGCGUGGGG
RNAcentral lists this ribosomal RNA (718 nucleotides) under uncultured Staphylococcus sp. RNAcentral describes it as "bacterial SSU rRNA". It matches the Rfam family "Bacterial small subunit ribosomal RNA", at positions 66 to 766 of the family's 1533-position model. Lineage: Bacteria; Bacillati; Bacillota; Bacilli; Caryophanales; Staphylococcaceae. The record is from RNAcentral.